RNAcentral lists this ribosomal RNA (718 nucleotides) under uncultured bacterium. RNAcentral's name for it is "bacterial SSU rRNA". It matches the Rfam family "Bacterial small subunit ribosomal RNA", at positions 136 to 851 of the family's 1533-position model. The record is from RNAcentral.
CAGGGGGACAACCCGCUGAUAGGCGGGCUAAACCCGCGUACAUGCCACCGGGGCAUCCCGGAGGCAGGAAAGGCUUCGGCCGGACAGGGAUGGGCAUGCGGCGCAUUAGGCAGUAGGCGGGGUAACGGCCCACCUAACCGACGACGCGUAGGGGUUCUGAGAGGAAGGUCCCCCACACUGGUACUGAGACACGGACCAGACUCCUACGGGAGGCAGCAGUGAGGAAUAUUGGUCAAUGGUCGGGAGACUGAACCAGCCAAGCCGCGUGAGGGAUGAAGGUACAGAGUAUCGUAAACCUCUUUUGUCAGGGAACAAAGGCGGGGGCGUGUCCCCGGAUGAGUGUACCUGAAGAAAAAGCAUCGGCUAACUCCGUGCCAGCAGCCGCGGUAAUACGGAGGAUGCGAGCGUUAUCCGGAUUUAUUGGGUUUAAAGGGUGCGCAGGCGGUCUGUUAAGUCAGCGGUCAAAGCCCGGGGCUCAACCCCGGCCCGCCGUUGAAACUGGCAGUCUCGAGUUGGAGAGAAGUAUGCGGAAUGCGCGGUGUAGCGGUGAAAUGCAUAGAUAUCGCGCAGAACUCCGAUUGCGAAGGCAGCAUGCCGGCUCCACACUGACGCUGAGGCACGAAAGCGUGGGUAUCGAACAGGAUUAGAUACCCUGGUAGUCCACGCAGUAAACGAUGAAUGAUGGCUGUCCAGGGGGGAUUGACCCCUGGGGGCGAAG